GACGAACGCUGGCGGCGUGCUUAACACAUGCAAGUCGAACGGAAAGGCCCUGCUUUUGUGGGGUGCUCGAGUGGCGAACGGGUGAGUAACACGUGAGUAACCUGCCCUUGACUUUGGGAUAACUUCAGGAAACUGGGGCUAAUACCGGAUAGGAGCUCCUGCUGCAUGGGGGGGGUUGGAAAGUUUCGGCGGUUGGGGAUGGACUCGCGGCUUAUCAGCUUGUUUGUGGGGUAGUGGCUUACCAAGGCUUUGACGGGUAGCCGGCCUGAGAGGGUGACCGGCCACAUUGGGACUGAGAUACGGACCAGACUGCUACGGGAGGCAGCAGUGGGGAAUAUUGCACAAUGGGCGGAAGCCUGAUGCAGCAGCGCCGCGUGCGGGAUGACGGCCUUCGGGUUGUAAACCGCUUUCGCCUGUGACGAGGCGUGAGUGACGGUAAUGGGUAAAGAAGCACCGGCUAACUACGUG
RNAcentral lists this ribosomal RNA (468 nucleotides) under uncultured bacterium. RNAcentral's name for it is "partial 16S ribosomal RNA". It matches the Rfam family "Bacterial small subunit ribosomal RNA", at positions 28 to 507 of the family's 1533-position model. The record is from RNAcentral.